GGCUCUUCUCUUUGAGGAGCUCAGUAUCGCCGCCGUCGCCGCCGUCUCUCUUACGCUCGUGACGACGGCGUUUCUUCCCCUCGUCCUGCCGCAGUCUUCCUUGUAUUGCACUGAUAUUCUACUGAGUAUUGUUAAAGAAUCUAGCCGAGCUGAUAAUAUAGAAUAGCUACUGGAUUAUUGUAAGGGUCUUCAAUAUGGCAAGUGGACCUGGACUUGAAUCUCUGGUUGAUCAAACAAUAUCAGUUAUCACAAAUGACGGUCGCAAUAU
This 268-nucleotide unclassified non-coding RNA is filed under the name Hevea brasiliensis (rubber tree). Lineage: Eukaryota; Viridiplantae; Streptophyta; Magnoliopsida; Malpighiales; Euphorbiaceae. The record is from RNAcentral.